Molecule: ribosomal RNA, 433 nt
Filed under: uncultured bacterium
Lineage: Bacteria
Description: partial 16S ribosomal RNA
Rfam family: Bacterial small subunit ribosomal RNA
Source: RNAcentral
AACGAACGCUGGCGGCAUGCCUAACACAUGCAAGUCGAACGAGACCUUCGGGUCUAGUGGCGCACGGGUGCGUAACGCGUGGGAACCUGCCCUUAGGUUCGGAAUAACUCCCCGAAAGGUGUGCUAAUACCGGAUAAUGUCUUCGGACCAAAGAUUUAUCGCCUUUGGAUGGGCCCGCGUUGGAUUAGCUAGUUGGUAGGGUAAAAGCCUACCAAGGCGACGAUCCAUAGCUGGUCUGAGAGGAGGAUCAGCCACACUGGGACUGAGACACGGCCCAGACUCGUACGGGAGGCAGCAGUGGGGAAUAUUGGACAAUGGGCGAAAGCCUGAUCCGGCAAUGCCGCGUGAGUGAUGAAGGCCUUAGGGUUGUAAAGCUCUUUUACCCGGGAUGAUAAUGACAGUACCGGGAGAAUAAGCUCCGGCUAACUCCGUG